GCAGAGCUGAGAAAGCCGGGCGACAGCCGACAGACCGCGAAACCCCUGGCGGCAUGAGGCAGCAGGAGCCCGUGGUAGUGACCGUGGCGGCAACGCCCGAGGAGGGCUGCGAUGGGGAGCAGCCUCAGCAGCUGGCAGGGCUGGUGUGCAGGGCGCCCGGCGUCUCCCAGGAACCCCACAAACAGUGUGAGUUCAGCUGCAGCCGCGGACUCUGUCGCAAGGGGUGGAUGGGUGUGGAGAAAGAGUGAAAGCUGCAGGACAUCUGAGUGGCACUGGCUGAAGAGAAGGUCAGAGCGGGAAGGGGUGGGGAGCUGCUGUUUUGGCAAAGGCAAAGGUGAUGUCACUGUGAUAGAAAGCAUCCUGGACAUUUCCCCAAGCCCUCCUUUACAAAAGACACCAAAGCCCAGCGUGGGCAUCACCUAUGACUUAAAGGAUUGACAGUGGAAUUAUUCUGUAAGAGAAUUAUAAAUGUAUAUAUAUAAUUAUACACACAGAGAGAGGCCUUUACAUGUAUAUAACAUGUAGACAUUUAUAUAUGCAUGUAUGUGUGUAUGUGGAUAUGCACAUCAUUUUGACAAUUCCUUCAUUAUAUAGAUUAAGAAAUUGUGGUAUAGAGGAGAGGAAGUAACUUGCCACCAUUAAUUCAUAAGUGCUGGAGAAAUACAUAAAAUGUUUUAAUUCUCAUCUCUUGAACUCCAAAUCCAUAUAUUAUUCCCUGAUCCUUUUGGAAUCUCAGUUAAGGACUUUUUUUUUUUGGGGGGGGGGGUGGUGGUUACUGAGGAUUGAACCCAGGGUUGCUUAACCACUGAACCACAUCGCUAUACCUUUUUUAUUUUUUUCUGAGACAUGGUCUCACUAAGUUGCUUAGGGUCUCACUAAAUUGCUGAGGCUGGCUUCUUCAAACUUGCAGUCCUCCUGCCUCAGCCACCUGAGCUUCUGGGAUUAUAGGCCUAUGUCAUGGUGCAACAUUUUAACACACUGCUGUCCCGCGGCCCCCACCCCACAACAUAUAAGCAAUGUUCAAAUAUGUAAAGACAGUUCCAGUCCACAGUUACAUCCAGCAUGGUUAUAACUGGAGUCCUAGCCAGGUUUCAGUGCUCACCCACAUUGUUUCAUGAACUUACAGAUACUUGACAGCCUAUUGCACCCCACAGGUCUUCAGGUGCUAAGGAAUGAUGAUGAAAAUAAUAGGACCAAGAGGAACACAAGCAGUUUCUAGCCUCCUUGAUUGCCUCUCUGGGGAGUAGCCUAAGACUUCCAGCCUCCCUUCAAACUGGCUGAUCCCAGAAGGGAGCACUGGGCUCAAGCUACUAGCACUUGUGCUUCAGUGGACCCAUACCCUCCUCUCAAGAGAUCUUGUCAAGGAGUCAGUCACUGAACCACUGCCUCCUGGGGAAAGGGGUCUGUCCCUCAGCGUCAGCCCAAGGGUGUCUAUGAUACCUCAUUCUUCUUUUUAUUAUUAUCAACAGCAAACAGAAGCCUUAUUUAAAGUAAUUAAAAUCAGUGUAUUUAAGUAUCAGAGAUCCCUUACCUCUGGUUUAAAUUAAAUCUGGCAACUUUUCCAUUAAAAUGCUUUAAAAGGUUUAAAAUGCUUAAAAGCAUCAAAAGGAUUUUUUAGUCUAGGGCUUUAGGAAUAAAUGGUAGAUUUAUUCAUUCAUCGAUUCAACAUAUACUGAGUCUUUAUUAAAUGCCAGGCUUUGGGCAAGUUGCAGGAAAUAGGGAAAUGAAUGCAUAUAGGUACCAACUUUCAUGAGUUCACAAAGUCAGGGUAGAGGCAUGCAAAGGGUUUUGCCUCAGUUUCCCUGAGAACCUCCUUUCAAGGACUCAGACUAAGUAGAGAGGGGGCUAUUCAUACCACACAACGUAUCCUUUCAAUUUUCAAAUGUUUUUAAUUACUGGAAAAGUCUUUAGUCUCUCUAUAGCCUCUACUUUCUAAUCACAGAUGUGCUCUCAAAUGUACACAAAGUGUGGUCCUUUCCCACAAACAUCCUUCAAUUAUAUAAAGGUAACCUUUGGAGCACCCAUAAAAUGAAUCAAAGAACUAAUUAGCUUUAUAAUAAUUUGUAGUGCUUUUGCCAUUCUGGCUGGUCUCUUCCAACAUUAUCCCAUUAAUUAAAUCACUGAGCCCAGUAUUGUGGGUAUUAUCUGAUUAUACAAUGUGGUGGAACUAUAACUCCUUUGAUCAGAGAACUAUACUUCUAUUAAAUGGAUCCAAAAUAACAUGUAAAACAAAUGCAGUUUAUGACAAUCCUUAGUUUGUCUUUCUCCCUUUCCCAGGUUCUAGUCUCCUAGAUUAGGUUUGAUUCAUAUAUAUUCAUAUAUCUAUUCAUGUAUAUAUAUAUAUAUAUAUAUAUAUUCAUAUAUCCAUGUAUAUAUAUUCAUAUAUCUAAAUGUAUAUAUUCAUAUAUUAUACACACACACACACACACACACACACACACACACACCAUGUCUUUCCAUUCAUAACACAGGCCAGGCACAGGGCCUGAGCUGAGGUGUACAUGGGGUAGACUUACUCUGCCUCCUUUUUCUAUAUAGUCAUUGUAAGAAUGACUUGUGGUAAGCAUCAGGAGGCCUGGGCCAUAUAUUUAUCCCCUUAAAUGCCAUCCUGUGGCUUUUUGCAUUUUCUUCCAGCUUUAGAAGCAGCCUUUGAGAAUCCUAAUUGUCAUUCAACCACUUACCCAUUCACCCAAGUUUAUGCCAUUCUAGUUCCUUUAUUCAAAUCAACAAAUUAGAUGGUGAUCUCAUCAAAAUUGUUCAGUUCAAAGAAGCCUUUGAUCUGUUAAUCAGCAUCCUACUUGUGGGCAUUCUGCCUCCCCCUCCAGAAAACCCACUUUAUCAGGCGCCUGGUUGAAAUGCAGAUAUAUUGUAACUACCUCCCCAGUCUAGUAGGUUAGUAACUUGAGGUAUGGAAAAGUCAGGUAGGUUGGCUUCUUGUUUUUAGUACUUUAGUUUUAUAACUUCAGACAGGUACUUUCUUAAUAAUAAAAUAGAAAUAAUUAUAUUUACCCAUAGGUAAUUGUGAGGAAGAGAAACAAUAUGAGUAUUAGAUGCCUAAAGCAUGGUAAUAUUGAAUAAAUUGUAGCACUUGCUACAUGAAAUAACAUUGUUCCAAAAGAAAAUCUAGAAUAACAUUGUUCUUAGCAGUCCCUCUUAAAACUUAAUGGGACCAGAACCUUGGGAAACACUUGUAAUUCCAGCAGCUUGGGAGGCUGAGGCAGGAGGAUCACAAAUUCAAAGCCAGCCUCAGCAACUUAGUGAGACCCUAAGCAACUUGGCAAGACCCUCUCUCAAAAUAAAAAAAUAAAAAGGGCUGGGGAUGUGGUUCAGUGGUUAAGCACCCCCUGGGUUCAACACCUGGUACCAAAGAAGGAAAAAAAAAUAGUGGUCACUGUUUCUCACUGUGUAUAGACAGAAGCCAUUUGUUUACCAUUCACUCAAAAUUUUGGUGAAGAUCAACAUAAAGCUGCUGUGUUAUGGUUUGUAGAUUUCUUCCUUCCCUUUCUUCCUCCCUCCCUUGCUCCCUUCCUUUCUUCCUUCUUUUUCUUUGUAGAGGAUAAUAGCUUACACUUGUUCCUUUCUACUCUCAAUGUUCACUGUUCUUUAAAUCACCUUUUCUGAUUACCUCUAAAUUUUCUUAAAAACAAAGCUGAAAUUUGUCAGAAGAUCUCACCCUAUAGAAGGUAACUCUACCCAUUAUAGACUUUGCUGUUAUAGACUAGCUGUUAUAGACUUUGUUCCUUUUCUAGAGAAGUUUAUUAAAUCCUUUCCUGCCUGAAGAUUAUGAUUCUACAGAAAAAAAAAAUUUAAACCAAAAUUAAUGCUCUUAUCUCUCAUUAAUAUGACUCCCAACUUUUAGGAAGAAUGAGACUCUGAGAGUAUCUAACUCUACCUUGUCUGUGUCUGAGGGUGUGAUUGAGUCCUCAUGACCAAUAAUGACCCAGGCCACUGUCACGGCAGCAUGUCUCUUGCCCCCAUUUAGCCAGUGUGUAGUCAAGUCAAAUGAACUCCCUUGUGUUAUUACUGGUUGGUCUGGAAAAGAUGAGACACCUCCCAUAUCUUUGUAGGUUUAAAAUUGAAUCUUAAAUAAAAUGAGUCAGGUACAGUGGCGCAUGUUUGUAAUCCCAGCAACUUGGGCAACUGAAACAAGAGGAUGGCAUGUUCAAAGCCAGGCACAGCAACUUAGCAAGACCCUAGGUAACUUAGCAUGACCCUGUCUCAAAAUUAAAAAAUAAGGGCUAGGGGUGUGGCUUGGUAAGUGCCCCUGUACUCAAACUCCCAGUACCCCCCACUCCGCAAAAAAUAAAUAAAUAAGUGGUUUGCUUGAGUUUUUCGUGGCUCCUUAAAUUGAGCUCUUGGGUACCAAGCCUAAGAGCAUGUUUCCUGACAUUCACAGGUUGCGUUGUCAGGCAGGCACAUAGAAUAGUCUUUGCUUAGGGUUCUAUCAAAUCUAAUGAUGGUUGGUUCUACCUGAGCAUACAUCACUCAAACCUUUGUUAUAUGCCAAGUCCUCUUCUAGGACUCUGAUAAACUGAACAGACAAUAUCCCUACCCUUAUGGUGUUCAAUAGUCUGGUUAAGAAGACAGAUAUCAGCCAGGUAUGGUGGUAUACACCUGUAAUCCCAGUGACUUAGGAGACUGCAGCAGGAGGAUGACAGUUUGAGGCCAACCUCAGCAGUAAGUCCCUGUCUCAAAAUAAAAAGGUCUGGGAAUAUAGCCAAGUGAUAGAGUGCCCCCUCCCAUUUAAUCUCCAGUAUAAAAACAGAGAGAGAGAGAGAGAGAGAGAGAGAGAGAGAGAGAGAGAGAAGAAGAAGAAGAAGAAGAAGAAGAAGAAGAGGAGGAGGAGGAGGAGGAGGAGGAGGAGGAGGGAAGACUAACACCUACACACAUAUUUGCAUGUAAAUGAAAUGAAACUGCAUUUAAAGGAAAGAAAAAAGGAGGAGAGUAUGAAGAAAAAAACUUUUCUAGCUUGUGGAGUCAAGGAAAGUUGCCCCGAGGAACUGAUAUUAAAGCUGUGAUUUACAAUUUGAGUAGAAGUUAUGCAGGAAAAAAAAUCAGGAGAAAGGCAAUUCAGGAAGAGAAGAGAACAGGUACAAAAGUGAGAAUGCACAGAAGGGCGACUUGGCUGGAGCUCAGAGAACUACACAGAGAGGCUGAUGAAGAGAUUGGAGAGAGGCAGGGCAGAGCACAAAGCUGUUUUGUUCCCUAGAGUUCUAUCCUCUGGGGUGAAAGAACAAAUAUCAGUCCUGGACUGGAGUAGUAAAAAUGACCUAUAGAGCUAGAUUUAGAGGCCAGAAAAAAGUCACAUGUCCAUCAGUGGUUGCUACUACAGAGAGGUAAGAAUGAUAGAGGUUUAAUCUUUUAAAAUUAUAAAUUCAAUAAAGAGGCUGAUUCACAGUAGGAUAGGGAGAGGGAACAUGGUAGGAAUAGAUGAACUCUAGAUAGGGCAGAGGGGUUGGAGGGGAAGGGAGAGGGCAGGGGGUUAGAAAUGAUGGUGGAAUGUGAUGAUGAUUUUUCAUAUCUCUGGUUGUAUAUAAGUAUGUUCACACCAAUUCCUGUUUUCAUACCUGUACUUUGUAUAAUAAUGAUCUUUGUAUACAACCAGAGAUAUGAAAAAUUGUGCUUUAUAUGUGAAACAAAUUGUAAUGCAUUCUGCUGUUUUAUAUAUAUAUAUAUAUAUAUAUAUAUAUAUAUAUAUAUAUAUAUAUAUAUAUAUUAUAUAUAUUAUAUAUAUAUAUAUAUAUAUAUAUAUAUAUAAUUAUAAAUUUAAAAUGCUGAGGUUGUUCUACAUUCUGCAUCUGGUUUUCAAGGUCCAUGCACACAUCUAUUUUACCCAUUGCUCUCAGCCCUGACAUAGAAGGUCUUUAGUAAGAAUCUAUUGACUAAAUUGAGUGAAAGGUUUCUUGAAAUGAAUGAGAAAUCCCACAUACUUCUUCAUAAUAUCCAAAAGAGGUACCUAAAACAUCCCACAAGUUCAGAAUUACAUGAAAGUGUGAAGUCCCCAAAGAACAAAGUUACAAUGGAGAGAUCACUCUGAGAGAGAGCCUGCAGGGCAAAUUUCUGAUAUUUGUAUGGAAUGGGUCUUUAUAUUAAAAAAUUAUUCAUGUAGAUGAAAUGGCUAGAAGGUUGGGAAGAAUUAUGAUAACUAAUCAAUUUUGUCAAUUCCUUUAUAGGGAAGAAAUUUUUAUAUUGUGAGCCACAUAAGAGAAUUAAGGAAGUGCUGGAAGAAGAACUUUAUAUUAAGAGAGAUGAAUGCCACAUUAAAAAUCCACCUUCAGGUAAUCUCAGUAACAAAGUAUAUUUGUGAAGUGAAAAUUAAAUUGCCUAUUUGAUGAGAGGGUGAUUAUUAUAUUUAUUAUAAAACUAUAACUACCAAAAAGAAAAUAGGUUCUUGGGAAAUUUUUAAACUAUUCUAUAAUUACUUUUCUGAUGUUCAAAUAAACCUUUUGUGUUUAGAAAAAAAUGAGCUACUGGUAUGUACUUCUUUGCUGUCCCAAUGUUUGGUGAAGUUAUUUCUACUUAAUGAGAAGUGCAUUUUUCCCCAAAUGCUUGAAAACCACAAUGACAUCUUCUGUCUUAUCAACACAGGUAUAACCAAUAACAGUAAUUCCCAAACUUUAGAUUAUCUCAGAAUUACUUGAGAACUUAUUAAAGGUAGACUUCUGGUCCCCAUCCCUAAGAGAUCUGGCUCAACAGGUCUGAGAUAGGGCCCAACAAUUUUUUUUCUACCAACUUCCCACAUGAGGUUGAUACUGUGGGUCUAGAGACCCCAUUUUUCCAACCUUUGACUCAGCAGAAUUCUGGUUCACUCAAAUAGGUCAAAACAUUCAAGGGUUUUUGUGCCACAAAUACAGGUGUGUAUUUACAUGGUCUGGACACAAAAACAUCUCAUUGAUGGCUCAUGUGAGGAUAGAUAUGCUCUAUAAGCCCAAGAAUUUAUGCUUUUUUUUUUUUUUUGGUACUUGUUAUUGAACCCAGGACCUUAGCCCACAAAUGUUAUUUUGAAACUGCCAGUACUCUGCAUUCCAUGGCUCCUUCUCAGUGAGUAGAUACAUAUUCCAUGCUCAGGUUUUUAUUGUGAUGCUGUAGGGUACCAGCAAUUGCUAGGAAAAAAAAUAAAAAUAAAAGAACUGUAAGAUAGGACUCCCAUGCUCAGAAAACUUGAUGUUUUUUAGGACAAUUGUUGAACCUGCAGAUGGGGCCCAAUUCCCUCAGGAUUCCUAAGAGCAGAUGCUAUAGGUCCAGAAGUCUACCAUUUCAGACUUCAUCGUGCAUAGGCUCAUUUUAUGUUUCUAAACCAGCUAUAGAAACAUCUUUGGGACCUUCUUUUAUUGUCCAUUCUUACAGAAGUAGAGACCUAUGUAAUGGCCACAUUUGCUCUUGCAAUGGUUUCAGGAAGUUUUAAUUCUAUGAAUGAAUAUAAAGUUUGACAUUUGUGAAUGGAUGCAGAAUGACCUACAAUAUUUCUACUGUGAAUGCAGCAUAGAUGUAUUAUUUCCUCCCUGGUUAAUUUUUCAAAAUCUACAUUAUAUUUUAGAUUUAUCUUGUUUUCAAAGACUACCUACAAAGUUAAUUUGUAUACUAGUUGUCUGUUAUCUUAUUCUUAUUGGAUGUGCUUUAUUAUGAGGCCAUCUAGGUUUACAGAAAAUAUAGUUUGAUUUAUAAAAAUUCAUUUUUCUAAGCCCUUUUUCCAAAUAUUGUUCAUACAAAUGAAGACUUUUUGGGUUGCAUUUUUAUAACAUCUAUCAGGAGUUGCAUUGAGGUAUUAUGUUAGCCUAUAAAACAUUCAAAACUAAGAAUAGAUCCUUAAGCUUAGGUUUUAAAGGUUCUACUUAUUGAAAAGAAACAUAAAUUUUUAAAAGGGCUAGAAGCCCUACAUCCUUGGCCAGAACACAGAACAAGUACUCAGGGAGGGUGCCACACUCUCUAGCCCUGAGCCAGACACUUGACCAUCUGGCCAUUGCAGUGACACGCCCUCUUUCAAUACCUGAUAACAGCUAUGGCUUUUCUUCCUGGAAGACACAUCUUGUCACAUACACCCAGAAUUCUGCAUGAAAUUUUUAGGGACUUCAGUGGCUCUUAUAACUGCUAUUUAUGGAUAUCAAGAAUAAAUACAUUUGGGGGACUGGGGUUGUAGCUCAAUGGUUGAGCACUUGCCUUGCAUGCGUGAGGCAUUGGGUUUGAUCCUCCGCACCACAUAAAUAAAUAAAUAAAUAAAUAAAUAAAAUAAAGAUUUUUUUUUUUAAAAAAAAAAAGAAUAAGUAAAUUUGGGUUGGGGUUGUAGCUCAGUUGUUGAGCACUUGCCUAGCACAUGUGAGGCACUGGUUUCAAUCCUUAGUACCACAUAAAAAUAAAUAAAUGAAAUGCAGGUUAAAAAAAAAAAGAAUAAGUACAUUUGGCCAGGUGUUGUGGCACACGCCUGUAAUCCCAGUGACUCGGGAGGCUGAGGCAGGAGGAUCAAGAGUUCAAAGACAACCUCAGCAUCCUAUCACUGAACUACAACAUCCAGCCUUUUAUUGUUAUUUUGAGGUAAGGUCUCACUAAUUUGCCCACGCUGGUCUCCAAUUUGCAACCCUUAUGCCUCAACAGGUAAAAGUAUGUAGCCAGGACUCUAAGGCUUCCCUUCUCUGGACUUUUGAUUCCCACUAGGCUCCUGAUGCAGAGAUUUGUGGGCACAGUGAGAAGCACAGGAUGCUGGGGUGAAGGGUGAUGAUUAUGGUAGUGAUAAUGGUGAUAAUAAUAAUUCCCAUCAUUUAUAGAAGUAUCUUCUGCAUGUAUCAGACUUUUUUGUUAUUGUUUUGUUUUACAAAUUAUCUCUUUUUAUUAGUGAAACAACACUGUGUGAAUAUAUGCUCUUUUAUUCAUAUUUUGCUUAUCUGGAAGCUGAUGUUCAUAAGGAUACAUGAUUUACCUAGUGUCACACAGUUGGCAAGUGGAAUAGCUGGUCCUUGAACACAGGCUUGUCAGAAGCUGCAGAACUUGCUGUCAGCCAUUGGGUUAUUCUGUCUUCCUUUAAAGCAUAAAACUGUGUUUUCAGAGAGGAAUAAAAAUUGAAACUACAAUUUUAGUAGCAGUAUAGAGUCAUCUUAAGAAAGAAAGGAAGAAAGGAAAGAAAGGAGGGAGGGAGGGAGGGAAGGUAAAUUACCAUUCUUCUCUAGGUUGUUUCAGUUUAGCCUUCAGGUUCAAACCUGUGCUUCCAGAGGUUUGCCAAUUCCUAUCAGACCUAUUAUAGGCAGAGAGCCUGGACCUAUUAUAAAGUUUCUCAUCAUCCUGAAAAAUAGAAAUGCACUUUCCUCAUCAUACCUUCUAGUCAGUUGGAUAAAGAAGAAUGAAGCUAAUGUGAUUAUUCAUAACUUAGUGAUUCCCUGAAGAUUUCCCCUCCCCACUUUUUAAAAAGAGAAAACUUAGCUUUUGGUUUCCACAAACUUCUAUGGAAGACUUUGUAAAAAGAAGUUAAUAUGUUAACAAUAUUUUCAUGUAGCAAAGGUUUUUUUAUCUUUCUAAUUGAAACCUGCAGACGUUAUAUUAGCCAUGAAAAUUUGAUAAAUGAAGCUUAAUCAAAGUUUUCCUCUUAUAGAAUAUUUCUUUUAGCAAUGAAUUUCAAAGUGUACUUCCAAGUCCAUUAAUAUUUUUCUUUUUGUGCCUUAAUACGUGAUAAAUUAACUUUGAGUCUGGUUUAUUUACUGCGCUUAGUACAAAUUUAGAAAGUGCAAAAUGUUGUUUGAGCAAGGGUAAACCAGUUGGAUAUUAAUUAUUUCAUUCAACAAAAGUGUUUUCAUGCAUCUGUAAUAUACAAGUGUAAUUGUGGAGCCUAGGAGUCACUGAACACAAAUUAAAAUUACUUGCAUUUUUCUUCCUUUGGUCAAAUCUCUAAAUAUGUUCAUAUAAGGGAAGUAUAGAAGAUAUGACUCUAAACUGGCUUUUUAAGUUCUCAGGCUCAUUAUUCACAGUCCAGAGAGAGCCAACAGGAACAAAAAAAUAUUUUUAAAGGGUGAAUUUACUUUUCCUGUGAGGCCAGGCUAGGUCCCACUGACAAGAAUUGGCAUAAGCAUAGUUUCAUAAUUUUUAAAGUUAGAAUAAAAACACACUUAAGAUGUCCAGGUAUAAGGGGUUGGGUGCAUGAGAGGGAAGAAAGAAGAAUCUCUGGAAGGUUCUAGGAAAAGGACUCAAUUUCUUAUUCUUCAUUUCUCCCCUGCUGCCCAUUUCUUUUUCAGGCCACGAUGCCAGCACAGAGGUCUUGCAGGACCUGCUGUGUCUUUCUUCCACCUCCUGAAAUGCACAUGCUCAGAGCUGAGGAGUUCAGUUUCUAAUAAGAGAAGCGGUUGCCUCAAAGGGCAUCUGUGAUUCUUUUUUUUUUUGGUAUUGGGAAAUUAACACAGGGGCACUCGACCACUGAGCCACAUCCCAACCCUAUUUUGUAUUUUAUUUAGAGACAGGGUCUCACUAGUACCACACCUUUGCAGAGGCGACUUUGAACUCUCGAUCUUCCUGCCUCAGCCUCCCGAGCUGCUGGGAUUAAAGGCAUGUGUCACCUGGCCAGCCAUCUGUGAUUCUUAAUAGGCUUCUUUUUUCCCCAAAUGACUAUUUUGCCUUCUGAAAUUCCUCACCCAAAUAUCAGACCAAAUAAAAGUAGUAGUAUUUUUUUUCCCAGUAACCUCUAUCCCUCAGGACAGUAAAUUCUUAUGUAUAACUAUAUUUUGUUUUGAGGGUUUUAAUGAAUUUCUUAGCAUCUGCAUUUAUAUUUUCAGAUAUUUUCUCUAUUGAUUAUAAGCUUCAGCUAUUCUUGUGAUUCCACUGGAAAGAGCCCUACUAAAUUCCCAAUCUCUAAAUUCUUUACUUCAUUUGAUAUGUUUGUUUAGCAUAGAUCUGCUUUCUGAUUUUAAGCUACUUUCCAUUUGCCAGAUCUUCCCACAGUAUAUAGAUGAAUCUAAAUUUAUUUCCCUGGUCUCUUACAGGAAGUCAUACACAAGUCGGUAUUUAAUAAAUGUUGGUGGUUACCUGAAUUUGAGUCUAUUACCAGGGGCUGGGGAUUAUAGCUCUUUCCUAUUUCUAGACAACACAGAUGAGGAAACUGGCUUGAAUGGCAGAGGAGAUUUAAGUUAAUAUAGGAUCUUGACAGAGAACAUGGAGUCUUCUCUGAAGGCCCUGGAAGAAGGAAGCUAAUCUUGAUAGAUAGCUUGAGAGAGGCAAGAAUUGAUGCUCAGCUCGAUGAGUCAGCCAGUGAUUUCCUGCUAUAAGUGAACCUAAUAAGCUCAUGCUUGGACAAUAAAAUCAUUUCCCUGUAAAAAUAAUAGCAACCAUUUAUUAAGUACUGAUCACUUUAUGCCUGCCUUUCCUACAUCCUACAAUAUUCCUUCAAGGAAGAUAUUAUUAUCCUCGUUAAGAAUAAAUAAACAGCUAAUGCCAGUAAAAUACAAAAUAGGCUGAAGGUGUGGCUCAGUGGUUGAGUGCCCCUAAGUUCAAUCCCAAGUACAAAGUAAAUAAAUAAAUACACAAAUAAAUAAAUAAGGGCCGGGUGCAGUGGUAUACACCUGUAAUCCCAGUGGCUCAGGAGGCUGAGGCAGGAGGAUCAAGAGUUCAAAGCCAGCCUCAUGAAAAGUGAGGCACUGAGCAACUCAGUGAGACUCUGUCUCUAAAUAAAAUACAAAUAGGGAUAGGGAUGUAGCUCAGUGGUCGAGUGCCCCUGAGUUCAAUCCCCAGUACCAAAAGAAAGGAAAUUGAGACAUAUGGAUUAAAUAAUUUGCCCAGAAUCACAUAAUUGGAGGUGGUAGAACUGACACUAAAAUCUUGCUGUCCUCUAAACCCAAAGACUGUACUCCUAGUCAUCACUGGGUACAAAAUCACUUGGGGAAGGAUUGAGUGUCAUUGAGGAUGCCAGUAGGCAGCUCUGGAUCCAUGAGGAGAAUUCAGCAUUAAAAUUUGUAGGCUCAGGGCUGGGACUGUAGCUCAGAGGAAGAGUACUUGGCCAGUAUGCAUGAGGCACUGGGUUCAAUCCUCAGUGCCACAUAAAAAUAAAACAAAGAUAUCGUGUUCACCCAUAACUAAAAAAAAAAAAUGUAGGCUCAGAAAUCAGAAAAACAACUUAUGGCAGCAAACCAGAAUUCAGAAACUUACUUAACUUGGAUUGUGGUUUUCUGCACAGUUAAAGUCCACAUAAUGCUUUUUAAUUGACUCUCAAAACUUAAAGAAGUGAUUGUAGGAUAUUGUGUCAGUCAGCUUUUUUGUCACUAAGACCAAAAUACCUGAUACAAACAACUUAAAGGAGAAAAGGUUUAUUUUGGGCUAUUUUAGACUUCUGAGUCCAUGGCCUACUGGCUCCAUUGCUCUGAAACUGAGGUGAGGCAGAACAUUGUGGUGGAGGAUAGCUGCUCACCUCCUGGCAGCCAGGAAGCAGGGGGAUGAGUUGUGUGGGACAAGGUAUAAUAGUUCCCAAGGGCACUCCCCCAGUGACCAACUAGGCAAGUCUGACCUCUGGACAUUGAUACAUUAUGAACCAAGCCGUUGAGGAACAUUCCAGAUCCAAACCAUAACAGAUACAGAGGAUAGCCCAGUGCAAAUCAUUACUAGAACUUACUGAAUAGUGCCGGAAUUAAGACCUAUAAUUUGCCAUGUACCAAUGUGUACACAUCACUUUCCAAGUACUUUGCUAUGGUUGUUUUAAAUGUAGGAUCUGGGCUGGGUUGUGCUCAGUGGUUGGAGUGCUUGCCUAGCACAUGUGAGGCAUUGGGUUCAAUCCUCAGCACCACAUAAAAAUAAAUAAAUAAAAUAAAGGCAUUAUGUAUGCCUACAACUAAAUAUAUAUAUUAAAAUAUAUUUUAAAAUAUAUUUUAUAUAUAUUUAAAUAUAUAUAUAUAUAUAUAUAUAUAUAUAUAUAUUUUUUUUUUAACAACGUAGGAUCUGGUGAUUUUGUUGUUACUUCUUUCAAAUGGGAAAUUAAACAACAUCUAGUUUAUAGUUUUUAGAAGAUUCUUCCAUCUAUUGAAUAAAUUAAUGUGUUUUUUUUUCUUAUCUGUAGAAAUAUUUCUAACCUGCUGCAGGAAUUAAAAAAGAAUCAGAUAAAGCUGACUGAAUACCCUCUAUGUGUUAACUUUUAUUCCUGCUCUUUCUGUGUUUUGUUAUACAUGUUCCUAUUCUGACUUGUUCGGAAUUUUUUUUACUGUUUCUUUAUAACUAUACAUAGCAUUAGGAUUCAUUUUGACAUAAUUUUGAAAGUAUAGAAUAUAAUUUGCUAUAAUUCAGUCCCCAGGAUUACCCGCUUUCUCUCUCCUCCUCCCUCCCCUGUUCCCUUCCCUCUACUCUGACAUGCAGAAGCUAGUUCAAAAUAAGGGCAGGGAGGGGACUCCAUCAAAAUAGAAGGAAGACGGUGGACUAAAUGAAGGGGACUAAGAGGGGAGGGAGAAGGGACAAGAUAGGGGAAGAACAGAGGAAUGAAUCUAACCUAACUUUCCUAUAUACAUAUAUGCAUAUACCACUGUGAGUCUCACCAUCAUGUAUAUCCACAAGACACUUUAAAAAAAAAAACCUAUUCUGACUUUUCAUAUAUUUGUUUAGGUGUAAGAUAAAUUACAAAAGGGCAUUAUAGAGGUUUAGUUGCAUGGGGGAUAACUGAAUGCAUGAAAUGGAAUAAAGACCUUGGGGAGUUUGAUUAAUUAAAUCAAAAACUUACACCCAAAUAACUAAAAAUAAAUAAUCAUCAAGUAAAUACUUUAGAAACACUUGUGUUUAAAAGAGAAUAUGCUAAUGAUCAUCAUCUUGCUUUUGAAAAUAUUGACAGUGGUCCUGGAAGGGAUCUGGAGCAUUAAAAGGAAUCUCCCUAUGGGGUGCUUGAAGCCAGGACUGCCUAGCAGAAACAGUUUACUGCCACAAGCCAAAUACUAUUCAAGGCACGGAGGACUGAGAAGUAAGACUCUGACACCCUUGACUUCCACAGACACCCUAAGGGUACUGCGCAGUUUACAAACCAGUGGUAUAUACUUUGUUUAAAGAUCUCAAUCAAAACUCAACCUGCCCCUGUCUUUCUCUAUAGUUACUUAUUGUUUUGCCCUGUUCCAUCAUUGAAGAACUCAAAAUGGUAACAGUUUAGUUAACCAAUGUCCCCCCAGGGAUACAAUAGAAGUUUCUACUCAGACUUACACUGCUGACUUUUUUUUUUUUCCUCCUCAAUUUCCUAUCCACAGAAGACUUUCUGGCACAUAGUCAGCUUCAGAGAGGAGGGAUUUUGCUCUGUGUUUUCUUCUGGAUGGAUGGUCUCUGUUUACCAGUGGAAAUGAGGGAAGGGAGAUGAGGGAUUAAGGAAGAACAAGGGAGAUGAGGGAUUAAGGAAGAACUUGCUUGGCUCCUUUAGUUUCACCUUUUCCAGGUAGCAGCCACCAGCCUGGGUCCAGUGAACCAUUCCUCAACAAACAGAAACUUUAAGCAAAUUAUUGCUGUUUCCCUCACUGUCAUAGCCAAUGUUUGCCAGGAACAAUUGUGGCAGAAUGUGGGAAAGGCAGAGGGCUUGACAUGGGAGCACAGUGUCCAGAUAAUGUAGAGACAUGCAGCUGGGUAUAUGAGUCCUGAAGAUCAGUCUACAGCCUGGAGUGACCUGGGGAAAAGGAAAGAAAUAGGUAAAAGCCAAGGAUACAUUUGUCCAGGAUAUAAAUCAUAAUUGCGAAUGUUAAAUAGCACUGUUUAUUCUAGAUUCUUAACAUAUAUAUUUCCUGUUUACAACAAUCACAGGAAAUAGUUAUGAUUUAUUUAACAAUUGAGGAAACAGGAUCAGAGAGGUAGAAUAAUUUACCCAGUGACACUCAGCUACUGUUUUUUAAAAAAAAAAAAAAGUGUUAUAAGGGGAUUUGUGUAGCAAGCAGGAGCCAGUAAUGGGUUUAAACUACUUUAUUAUUAAAUUGGGUUUAAUAAUAAAGUAGCCAUUAUUUGCAUGGGCCAAGCAUGGCAAUACAUGUUUUACAUAGUUAUAGAACCCCAUGAUUACACAAGUUGAGAAUUAUAAUCUCUCUUCUAGGGAAGAAAACUGAGGCAUAGAGACAUGACAUUACCUAAGAGCCCAUGUGUUGGAGGCCGUGGAGCCCAAACUAAACCUGUAUCCAUCCAGCUUUCAAGACUAUACCCUUAACCACCAGACCAUGAGUCAUGGUAAAGAAUCUAGUCACCAGGCAAGAAGGGCCGAAUUAGUCAUAGGGUUGUGUUAAAUAGGCACAGAGCCUGGGCUCUGGAAAGGCAGGGUGAGAAAUCUGGGAGUCAACUGCACUCAGGAUCCACAAAGAUAUCAUUGUCCUGGAGUAAUGGUUGGUUCAAGCCUAAUCUGGGUCACUUGUCUAUCAGGGGCUAUUUAUCUCAACUUUCCACUCAAUAUGUCAGGUCCCAUUUAUAGUGGGCAAAUUCAUCAUUCCAAGAAAACUCACAAAGCUAUUUAUUUUAAAGAUGGAUAGUUUCCAAAAUGCAUAUUAUAAGACUGAAGAAUAAAUUACCUUUAUCUGAAGACAUAUACGUCUAAUAAUUAUCCAAUUCAUCAACUGGAGUCAAAUAACAAAAAUGUGUUACAUUUGGACCAUAAUUGUAUUGCUUUCAUCUGUACAAUUUAGGAGAGAAGUGUUCCUGGCUCCUUCCUGUACUUGUUGCCACUUAUUCAUGCUACUUUCCUAGCAGCCUUGGCCAUCUCUCCCUAGCCCAUAUCUAGCCAUUACAAAGAUCAGAUGUAAUUGUUUCUGAUAGGUUUAAUUUCAUCUCUGCCAUAUGAUGAUAUCUACUGCUACUGUCUAUGAGACAGUCACAACUGGUCCAAUUACGUCAAUCAUACAGAUAACUAAGAAUCAGACAUUUCUCAUUAUCAAUCAAAAAAAAAAAGAGCUAUGCAGAGAAAUUUAUAUGAAACAUUCCACAGACAAUUGCCUGUAAUCAAGAGAUCCACAAAGACUGGGACUGUGUCUCCUCACCACUGUGUCUUUGGCUCUUAGCAUGGUACCUGGCACAGUAGGUUCUCAAUUGCUAUUUGUCACCAGAAUGACCAAUGAAAACCAGAAAAUGUACAUUGGAAAAAAAAGAAAAAGAAAGUGUAUGUUGAAUGUCUACUUUAUGUUCAGGAUCUUUUUGCUGGAAACCCAUAUACAUGUUCCCCCUCCACAAAAGCAUAUGAUUUUCUCAGGCAAACAAUGGAGGAGGGGCAAGGGAAAACUAUUGUCUUCAGUGUGUGAAUUAUGAAAAGUUGUACAUAUUUUAUACACAGCUUGGAAAUGACACUUUGAGGUUUUCAAUAUGUCCAGGAACUCCCAUGUUUCAUUUAGAAAAUUCAACUAAAACUUACUGUCACUUUCUUUUCCUCUUAUGCUUUUUUCCCCUUUCUCAUGAGCAACGUGAUCCUAACAGUUGUGACUCUUCCAACAUCUAAUACACAUCAUUUAAAGUUUAAAUUUAGAGUCAUGAUCACCCAGUUGUAAUUCUAAAGCAUGUUUUUGGAAACAUCCUGAAUUAGAACCCCAAACUAUUGUGCUUUUAUCUCACUAACAGACUUCAUUAAUUUACUUUGAUCAUUUCCUUCUUAUCCUAUAUCAUAUAACAAACAAACAAACCAUUGUCUAGCCCAGUGCUAAGCUUCAAUAUGCCUGUGAAUCACAUGAGUAUCUUACUAAAAUUCAGAUUCUGAUCCAGGAGGUUGAGUCGGAGAUUCUGCAUUUAAAAUUUCCCAGGUGAUGCCAAAGCUAAUUGUCUGGAAACCAUGCUCCUGUUGUGAGGGUCUGAAAGACUCAGUAAAGGUUUUUAUAGUUAAGGAGAACACAAGGGUGUGGCUUUUACAUUCUACUCCACCUAAUGAAAUAUCACUGGGAAUAUUAAUUCAAACUUAGAUUAAAGUGGGGUUGGUAUUAAAGAGCAUCUUCCAAACUAAAACACUUACUUAUUUGUUCACAUAUUCUUUUUCACUCUAGGAUGAAAUGAAUAUAAUUUUCCACUGGGAAGAAACCUCUUUCUCUUUAUGUUUGAAGAACACUGAAGAAACCCAAGUUGUUUCUUGAUUUCAGAUGUAUGGAUGGAGGGGAAGUAUAUUAGUCUGUAAUAUGUUUACAUAGUCAUCUAAAGUCAUGAAAGACUAUUGAUAUUUUGCUAAAUACCUGCAAACAAUGAAGGAAUAUCUUAUGCUUAUUUUUAGUUUUCACAAUUGGAAUAAAGUGGGUUUCUAAUUCAAUAGAAUUGGGUUAUUCUAUUAAAUGAGUGAGG
This 17208-nucleotide long non-coding RNA is filed under the name Marmota monax (woodchuck). Lineage: Eukaryota; Metazoa; Chordata; Mammalia; Rodentia; Sciuridae. The record is from RNAcentral.